This 434-nucleotide ribosomal RNA is filed under the name uncultured bacterium. RNAcentral's name for it is "bacterial SSU rRNA". It matches the Rfam family "Bacterial small subunit ribosomal RNA", at positions 958 to 1392 of the family's 1533-position model. The record is from RNAcentral.
AACGCGAAGAACCUUACCUACUCUUGACAUCCAGAGAACUUAGCAGAGAUGCUUUGGUGCCUUCGGGAACUCUGAGACAGGUGCUGCAUGGCUGUCGUCAGCUCGUGUUGUGAAAUGUUGGGUUAAGUCCCGCAACGAGCGCAACCCUUAUCCUUUGUUGCCAGCGAUUCGGUCGGGAACUCAAAGGAGACUGCCGGUGAUAAACCGGAGGAAGGUGGGGAUGACGUCAAGUCAUCAUGGCCCUUACGAGUAGGGCUACACACGUGCUACAAUGGCGCAUACAAAGAGAAGCGACCUCGCGAGAGCAAGCGGACUUCACAAAGUGCGUCGUAGUCCGGAUCGGAGUCUGCAACUCGACUCCGUGAAGUCGGAAUCGCUAGUAAUCGUGGAUCAGAAUGCCACGGUGAAUACGUUCCCGGGCCUUGUACACACCG